RNAcentral lists this ribosomal RNA (369 nucleotides) under uncultured crenarchaeote. RNAcentral describes it as "bacterial SSU rRNA". It matches the Rfam family "Archaeal small subunit ribosomal RNA", at positions 268 to 643 of the family's 1478-position model. The record is from RNAcentral. Lineage: Archaea; Thermoproteati; Thermoproteota.
GCGGGCCGUGGGAGCGGGAGCCCGGAGAAGGGUACUGAGACAAGGACCCAGGCCCUACGGGGCGCAGCAGUCGCGAAAACUUUGCAAUAAGCGCAAGCUCGAAGGGCUAUCCCGAGUGCCAUCCGCUGAGAAGGCUUUUACCAGUCUAGAACGCUGGGGGAAUAAGGAGGGGGCAAGUCUGGUGUCAGCCGCCGCGGUAAUACCAGCUCUCCGAGUGGUGUGGAUGUUUAUUGGGCCUAAAGCAUCCGUAGCUGGCUAGGUAAGUCCCUUGUUAAAUCCACCGAAUUAAUCGUUGGAUUGCGGGGGAUACUGCUUGGCUAGGGGACGAGAGAGGCAGACGGUAUUUCCGGGGUAGGGGUGAAAUCCUAU